GGGGGCGGGGCCGAGGCGCCUAUGACUCCGCCCCCAAUAAACUCCCCACUCGGUAAACAAGCCGCUGCGGCGCCUGGGGCUUCUUGUGCGCGCCUGGGGCUUCUCGUGCAAGCCCGGCGCCGAGUUACAUCACGGUCCCCUGGAGUUUUAAACCCCGGCCGCCUGGUCCCCGCGGCCCUCGCCUGCCCGCCCGCCGCCUGUGUCCGAGGAGCGGAGAGUCAGCGAGGCGUCUCCCUCCCCAGGCUCCUCAGGGCAGGAAGGCCUCCAGGUUUUCUCGGGCGGCCCCUGGGACUUCGUGGAAACCGAUUCAGCUGGAGGGAAGGGGUCACGGCGUGGCCGCACAGGAACUGCACCUCAGUUUCCCCACCUGUGAAACCAGGGGGCUGCGUGAGGGUUCUGUGCCAUCCAACUAGGGGCAGGAGAGGUGCGCCCUGAGCCCGGGGCGAGGGGCCGACCCCCGAAAGAAAUGGCUGCGGCCAGAGCCGAGCUUUCUCCUUGAGCGGUGGAGCUCGCAAAAAGCCAGGUGUCCCAGAACGCAGACCCUCCCCUCCGAGGGGCCUGGGUGACCGUGAGUCGCACAGAACAAAAAGAUGACUUUGUAGUAUCCUAGCAUCUCCCCUCUCCCGAUUUGCGGCGGGACAAAGACCCUCUGGGUAGAAGGAAGACCUGCCCGCCACCCCCACAGCGGGUUUGCGCUCUGAAAAAGGUGUUGCGGCGCAAUAUCCACAGCUUGCACGUCGGAGCCUGAGUUGAGCCUCAGGCGCCCGAGGAGGCAAUGGGUCCCCGCCUGUGGCAGACAGUAGAUGGGCCAGAACAGGUCCGGAAGGCCGCAGAAGGGACGCUGGCCCCAUCGAGCCCCAGGAGGUGCCCGGUCCGGGGACUCCACGGUUUGGUGAUUCUGCACCUGCGCUCUCCAAUAAGGCAACAUCAACACGGCUUUAUUAACUGAAUGCUCGGUCAGGUCCUGAGCAGCUCCCUGAGGCGAGGCAGAGGGUUGUUGGAGAAGGCAGAGGCACUGUGCCAGUCCUCAAGAAGUUGCCAAGCCCCUCUUGGCUCCCAGCUCAGCCUGGCUGGGUCCUCCUGCAGUCCUGCCUCCCCUCCUCCACAGGACACUCAGGCCAGCAGAAGGCUGGGCAGAGGAACCUGGGGCCUGCCAGGGCUCUGGGAACUCAGGGAGGGAGCUCCACACAGGCCAAGGGUUCAGAAGACAGUGUGGCCAGUGGCCAGAAACCAUGGCUGGCCCUUGAGAGCUAUUCCCGUAGCCAGGACCACAGAAGAGCCUUUCAGCUGCCCAUUCCCCAGCCUCACUACACAGCACCUCCUGCCCAUCAAUUAGUGGCAGCAAAGCCCUCUCUCUACAAGCCCUCCCAGUAGCACCUGGCAGUAUUGCAACAGGUUCCCCAGCUCUCUCAUCCUCUCUGCCUCCUCCUGUUCCCCAGGCUCUGCUUGAUUAAAAGAUGUGCCUGAUCAUCAAAGGGGUACAGGCUGAUGUCUGGGCAAGAAAGAUAGCCCAGACGCACACAUACACAUACACCACUUCUGCAGCUGGUUAUUUCUGAUUAACAACCCACACCUGGUCAUUUGAGGGCUGUCCUAGUUGGUAUGACCCAGGUUUAGCCCAUGCAGCUGAUAUGAAUGUGACAGCUUUACAGCUCUGUAAAGCUAACCAGACCUGUACAUAGUUAAACAA
Molecule: long non-coding RNA, 1690 nt
Organism: Bos taurus (domestic cattle)
Lineage: Eukaryota; Metazoa; Chordata; Mammalia; Artiodactyla; Bovidae
Source: Ensembl